CGGCAGCACAGUCGUAGCAAUACGAUGGGUGGCGAGUGGCGGACGGGUGAGGAAUACAUCGGGACCUGCCCAGACGUGGGGGAUAACGUAGGGAAACUUACGCUAAUACCGCAUACGUCCUACGGGAGAAAGCGGGGGAUCAGCAAUGACCUCGCGCGGUUGGAUGGACCGAUGUUCGAUUAGCUAGUUGGUGAGGUAAUGGCUCACCAAGGCGACGAUCGAUAGCUGGUCUGAGAGGAUGAUCAGCCACACUGGGACUGAGACACGGCCCAGACUCCUACGGGAGGCAGCAGUGGGGAAUAUUGGACAAUGGGCGCAAGCCUGAUCCAGCAAUGCCGCGUGUGUGAAGAAGGCCUUCGGGUUGUAAAGCACUUUUAUCAGGAGCGAAAUACCACGGGUUAAUACCCUAUGGGGCUGACGGUACCUGAGGAAUAAGCACUGGCUAACUUCGUGCCAGCAGCCGCGGUAAUACGAAGGGUGCAAGCGUUAAUCGGAAUUACUGGGCGUAAAGCGUGCGUAGGCGGUUUUUUAAGUCUGCUGUGAAAUCCCCGGGCUCAACCUGGGAAUGGCAGUGGAUACUGGAAAGCUAGAGUGUGAUAGA
This 601-nucleotide ribosomal RNA is filed under the name uncultured Gammaproteobacteria bacterium. RNAcentral describes it as "bacterial SSU rRNA". It matches the Rfam family "Bacterial small subunit ribosomal RNA", at positions 67 to 655 of the family's 1533-position model. The record is from RNAcentral. Lineage: Bacteria; Pseudomonadati; Pseudomonadota; Gammaproteobacteria.